GAUGAACGCUCGCUACAGGCUUAACACAUGCAAGUCGAGGGGCAGCAUGGUCUUAGCUUGCUAAGGCCGAUGGCGACCGGCGCACGGGUGAGUAACACGUAUCCAACCUGCCGUCUACUCUUGGACAGCCUUCUGAAAGGAAGAUUAAUACAAGAUGGCAUCAUGAGUCCGCAUGUUCACAUGAUUAAAGGUAUUCCGGUAGACGAUGGGGAUGCGUUCCAUUAGAUAGUAGGCGGGGUAACGGCCCACCUAGUCUUCGAUGGAUAGGGGUUCUGAGAGGAAGGUCCCCCACAUUGGGACUGAGACACGGUCCAAACUCCUACGGGAGGCAGCAGUGAGGAAUAUUGGUCAAUGGGCGAGAGCCUGAACCAGCCAAGUAGCGUGAAGGAUGACUGCCCUAUGGGUUGUAAACUUCUUUUAUAAAGGAAUAAAGUCGGGUAUGGAUACCCGUUUGCAUGUACUUUAUGAAUAAGGAUCGGCUAACUCCGUG
RNAcentral lists this ribosomal RNA (490 nucleotides) under uncultured bacterium. RNAcentral's name for it is "partial 16S ribosomal RNA". It matches the Rfam family "Bacterial small subunit ribosomal RNA", at positions 28 to 507 of the family's 1533-position model. The record is from RNAcentral.